This 1443-nucleotide ribosomal RNA is filed under the name uncultured organism. RNAcentral describes it as "16S ribosomal RNA". It matches the Rfam family "Bacterial small subunit ribosomal RNA". The record is from RNAcentral.
GCUUAACACAUGCAAGUCGAGGGGCAGCAUGGUCUUAGCUUGCUAAGGCCGAUGGCGACCGGCGCACGGGUGAGUAACACGUAUCCAACCUGCCGUCUACUCUUGGACAGCCUUCUGAAAGGAAGAUUAAUACAAGAUGGCAUCAUGAGUCCGCAUGUUCACAUGAUUAAAGGUAUUCCGGUAGACGAUGGGGAUGCGUUCCAUUAGAUAGUAGGCGGGGUAACGGCCCACCUAGUCUUCGAUGGAUAGGGGUUCUGAGAGGAAGGUCCCCCACAUUGGAACUGAGACACGGUCCAAACUCCUACGGGAGGCAGCAGUGAGGAAUAUUGGUCAAUGGGCGAGAGCCUGAACCAGCCAAGUAGCGUGAAGGAUGACUGCCCUAUGGGUUGUAAACUUCUUUUAUAAAGGAAUAAAGUCGGGUAUGGAUACCCGUUUGCAUGUACUUUAUGAAUAAGGAUCGGCUAACUCCGUGCCAGCAGCCGCGGUAAUGCGGAGGAUCCGAGCGUUAUCCGGAUUUAUUGGGUUUAAAGGGAGCGUAGAUGGAUGUUUAAGUCAGUUGUGAAAGUUUGCGGCUCAACCGUAAAAUUGCAGUUGAUACUGGAUAUCUUGAGUGCAGUUGAGGCAGGCGGAAUUCGUGGUGUAGCGGUGAAAUGCUUAGAUAUCACGAAGAACUCCGAUUGCGAAGGCAGCCUGCUAAGCUGCAACUGACAUUGAGGCUCGAAAGUGUGGGUAUCAAACAGGAUUAGAUACCCUGGUAGUCCACACGGUAAACGAUGAAUACUCGCUGUUUGCGAUAUACUGCAAGCGGCCAAGCGAAAGCGUUAAGUAUUCCACCUGGGGAGUACGCCGGCAACGGUGAAACUCAAAGGAAUUGACGGGGGCCCGCACAAGCGGAGGAACAUGUGGUUUAAUUCGAUGAUACGCGAGGAACCUUACCCGGGCUUAAAUUGCAGAUGAAUUACGGUGAAAGCCGUAAGCCGCAAGGCAUCUGUGAAGGUGCUGCAUGGUUGUCGUCAGCUCGUGCCGUGAGGUGUCGGCUUAAGUGCCAUAACGAGCGCAACCCUUGUUGUCAGUUACUAACAGGUUCCGCUGAGGACUCUGACAAGACUGCCAUCGUAAGAUGUGAGGAAGGUGGGGAUGACGUCAAAUCAGCACGGCCCUUACGUCCGGGGCUACACACGUGUUACAAUGGGGGGUACAGAGGGCCGCUACCACGCGAGUGGAUGCCAAUCCCCAAAACCUCUCUCAGUUCGGACUGGAGUCUGCAACCCGACUCCACGAAGCUGGAUUCGCUAGUAAUCGCGCAUCAGCCACGGCGCGGUGAAUACGUUCCCGGGCCUUGUACACACCGCCCGUCAAGCCAUGGGAGCCGGGGGUACCUGAAGUGCGUAACCGCGAGGAGCGCCCUAGGGUAAAACUGGUGACUGGGGCUAAGUCAUAACA